RNAcentral lists this ribosomal RNA (333 nucleotides) under Triticum aestivum (bread wheat). Its description in RNAcentral is "partial small subunit ribosomal RNA". Lineage: Eukaryota; Viridiplantae; Streptophyta; Magnoliopsida; Poales; Poaceae. The record is from RNAcentral.
AUGCUUGUUUUGGUAUUGGAAGAAGAAUACGUCAAUCUAUUAAUAGCACGAAAAUUAGUAGAUGUCUAUGCACUCGUUGCUAUAAUUGAGGCUAAAUGUGAGACUAGAUGUGCGAUUAGAGAAGAAAUUAGAGGGGAUGCAACGUCUACUUCUUUAGAGUCAAAGAAGAAUAAUGAACUAUGCAAGAUCGAUAAUCCGCAGAUCAACAAUGAAAGCAUCGAGAAGAUAUUAAUCCAACUAGUCAGAGUAGUUAUGGAAGUUGGAUAUCUUCUAAAAUGUCUAAUUAUGGUUCUUAUUUUCUGUGGUCUUGCUCUUCUAGCAAAGAAUUGGUGA